RNAcentral lists this transfer RNA (98 nucleotides) under Desulfobulbaceae bacterium. RNAcentral describes it as "tRNA-Sec". It matches the Rfam family "Selenocysteine transfer RNA". Lineage: Bacteria; Pseudomonadati; Thermodesulfobacteriota; Desulfobulbia; Desulfobulbales; Desulfobulbaceae. The record is from RNAcentral.
GGAAGCGGAGAGGGCACUGGUGGCUCUCCCGGACUUCAAAUCCGGUGUGGCGGGUUAAUAGCCUGUCAGGUGGGUUCGAUUCCCAUGCGCUUCCGCCA